GCACAAGGUAUCCAUGCUCGACC
Molecule: non-coding RNA, 23 nt
Filed under: Arabidopsis thaliana (thale cress)
Lineage: Eukaryota; Viridiplantae; Streptophyta; Magnoliopsida; Brassicales; Brassicaceae
Source: RNAcentral